Molecule: ribosomal RNA, 207 nt
Filed under: uncultured Smithella sp.
Lineage: Bacteria; Pseudomonadati; Thermodesulfobacteriota; Syntrophia; Syntrophales; Smithellaceae
Description: partial 16S ribosomal RNA
Rfam family: Bacterial small subunit ribosomal RNA
Source: RNAcentral
CGUGUAGGCGGCUGGAUAAGUCAGAUGUGAAAGCCCUGGGCUUAACCCAGGAAGUGCAUUUGAAACUGUUCAGCUUGAGUAAGGGAGAGGAAGGUGGAAUUCCUGGUGUAGAGGUGAAAUUCGUAGAUAUCAGGAGGAACACCGGUGGCGAAGGCGACUUUCUGGCCCUAUACUGACGCUGAGACGCGAGAGCGUGGGUAGCAAACA